Molecule: long non-coding RNA, 5895 nt
Organism: Cavia porcellus (domestic guinea pig)
Lineage: Eukaryota; Metazoa; Chordata; Mammalia; Rodentia; Caviidae
Exons: 2
Source: RefSeq, a predicted model, not a curated record
UCCUCGGCACUCGUAUUGGAUGACUUGGGAGGGUCAUGAGAGACCCUUCAGAACCUGCAGCAUGCAGUGGAAAGUGCUUCUUUUUUUAUGAAAGGGGUCUUUUCCUAAUUAGUUUUAGAAUACCUACUCUUUUUUCAGCCUCUGGGAAGAGCAUCAGUGCUAGCAAUCUUCAGGCACAAAAUUGUGAGAAAGGGGACUAUUAAUAAUAACAGUUUGAAUUAUUAUGAGGACUUGGUUUGAAGUUAUGAAGAUGCACUGCGGAUGCUAUGGAAGUUUAAGGCUAUGCCUCCAGCAGCUCUUGACUCUUUCCGCUAUUUACCUAAGGGCUACACAAGUUUUGUUUACGAUCUCAACAUCACAGUCCUUUCAUCUGAAGCACAAAGCAUUGUUCAGCCACUUAAGAUGAAGUACUAAUCCCUGUAGCUUUGAGUUUCCUUGCCUCUCCCUGCUUAGGCUCUUCUAGGAAGGGGUCAGAGGUCCUGUGUGUGGAUCCAGCCUUUGUUCUUGGUGCUUACCUUGGUCACUGAUCAUGUUCAUUUUCUGAAGAUGAGCAUCUUGUAUUUCUUUGUGAUCAAGUGACAAAAUUCCACCAACAUCUGCCAAAAUGAAUGGUCCAGAAAACUUGUUAUGGUUUCAAGAUCAGGUUGGGUUUUUUGUUUUUUUGGUUUUUUUUUAAGAAAAGAGAAAUCCUUCCAAUUACCUGGAGUUCUGAACACACUUGGUUGCCUCCCAGAAAUACAAUAAAAGGAAACCAGAAGUAUUUUAGUCCCUGGUUAUUUAUGAAUGCAGCCAAUUUUCCUUUUUAGACUCUGAAGGUCACAGAAUCUAAUCCAGUGGAACCACAAAAAAGCAGCUUCCCCUUUCCAUAAGUUCUCCUGCCGACCCUUUCUCCUCAGUUCUGUUAAGAGUAGGGCCUUGCUGGCUGUAAGUGGAAAGCAGGGCAUCACCGAGAGUUUCCAGGGCUUCCUACUCAAAGCAGGUCACAAAGAAAGCUGCUUUGGAAGUUACCGGGAGGAAACUGAGGCACAAGUGCAAAGGUCUCUGAAGGCCUUCAGGGCACCUCUGUGCUGCUUCUCAGGCUGUCCCAGGGAGAAGGUGAGGAAAAAAAACCUCUACUCAGCUCCCAAGAAAGCCAAGCCCUUCAAGCCUGGGCUGGGACCAUGGGCAUGGAACUGGAUUUGCCUAGGAAGUGAAUAAUUAACCCGCGUCCUUGACAUCAGAGGAAGGUGAGAGAAGAAUGAAUGGCAUCUAUUGUUCUCGAGUUCUAAUCUACAGAGCCUGCGUGUCCUUGCCAUGAGAUGAACACAGCAAGGAUUCUGGCCUAUUUUUGAGCACAUUAAUAAAUAGGCCCUGAAUAAAGUCUCUGCCUCUUUUUCCUUUUCUGCACAUCCAAUAGAAUACUUUUCAUUUUUAAUCUACAGGUUGUUCAGUAAUGUCUAUUUGUAUUUCAUAAUGUACGAAAUCUCAUCCUGCUCAUAUUUCUUCCUUUAGGACUUAAUGAAUAGCAAGGAAAUAUCUUCUAAUUGAUAAACUUUUUAUAUAAUUUUAGAAACCUCAAUACUUCCGAUAUCCAAAUUGUACAAGAUUUAAAAAGGAAUAUUAAAAAUAAGAACUAACGUGUCAAACACCAACUCUGUGGAAAGUACUGUACUUGGAUACUUGGUGCCAGCUACUCUAUUUAAUCUUCAAAACAACCCUAGGAACCAAGAGGAGUCCUUCCAGGUCUCUGUAAGAAGGCAGCCUCAGAGGGAUCUUAUCUUCACAGUCACAGAAGGCAUGUGUCAAAGGGAGCUCAACCAGAACCCCAAAGUGUAUAUUCAUUUCACCACACCACAAUUACAGGUGGUCUUGGAAGUCUAGAAAGAUACAGCAAGAGCUUUUCUCACUGCCUCAUUCAGUGUAGCCUCCUUAAGAGCAUCUGGAGAAGAUCCGUCCUGCCAGCUGGGGACGGGGCACCUUUAUCCAGAUGGAGAUAAGACAGGUCUUGGGUGAAGAGUUAGGAUAACAAUCCUUUCCCACCUGUCCCCUGGCCAACUCUUUGUUUCUGGAUUUUUCUAGGGGUGGAAGAUGGUUCUGGUAACAGAGAUCAAACUGCAUUCUCAGACGUAUCUUAACAUUCCCAGGAUUGUCUAAAGAUCAAAAUGGAGAGGACGGGGAAGGGUGGCAGAUACCAGACUUCAGGAGAGACUGUCUUUAAGACAGGAGGCAGUCUAAGGAAGAAGUGGUCAGUCUGACUCAGUAAUAAGACAGAGAUCCAAGGCUCACUGGCAUCCACAUUCUGCUUGAUCAGAGAGCAGUCCCAGCAGGUAGUGGGAGGACUGGGUCAGGCUGCCAAGCCUCUUGUCCCCAGCCCCAGCACACCAGGCUCCAGCAAAAUCAUAAUCUGGGGCUCUUAACAUUUUCUUCUUUUGUUCUAGGGAUCUUUUUGGUGGUCAGGCAAAGCCUAUAGAUUCUCUAGCAGAAUAAUGUUUUAAGAGCCUAAAACAACUUACUGUAGUUUUAAAGGAAGCCACUAAUAUAGAAGGAUGACCCACAACAUUCCCAGGGACUUUAGGACAUGAUUAGGAUGAGGGGGAAAGGACUUUGCAAGAGGAGUGGUCUUUCCCUAGGCAGGUGGGGCAUGCAUUAUCAAAACUUUCAGGAAAUAAAUGAAUGGUGUGAAAAUAAAUGUGCUUCUAAAAGGUAAGUAGAAAUCUUGAAGACAUAGGAGUACGUAGCAAGUUCAUGAACAAAACCCAAACUGCACGGGAAUUACUUUGAGGAAUCAAUAACUGGGAUCUCACUUUAUUAAAAAGUUUUUGACCAUCAAAAGAAAGCACCAACAGAGUGAAAAGACAACCCACAGAACUGGAAAAUAUUUGAGCCAACUGUCUCUCCGACAAAGGACUUACAUAUAGAACAUAUAAAGAACUGAAAAAAAUCAGGCCCCAAAUUCAGAGACUCAAUCUAAAAACGAGCAUCUGAGAUGAAUAUGUACUUCUCAGAUGCAGAAAUACAAAUAGUAAAUAAAUAUAUGAAAAAAUCUUCAUAAUCACUGGUCAUUUGAGAAAUGCAAAUUAAAACAAAACAGAUUCCAUCUCACCGCAGGAGGAAUGGCUGUUAUAAAGAAAUCAACCAAUAACAAAUGCUGGAGGUGCUGUGGGGGAAAAAGGAACACUUGUCCACUGUUGGUGGGAAUUUACACUGGUGCAACCUGUGGAAAUCAAUGUGAGGAUUCCUCUAAAAACCAGGACUAGAGGUGCCAUCUCACCAGCUAUUCCCCUUCUGGGUAUUUCCCCAGAAGAACUGAAAACAUCAUACCACAGCGAUAUAUAUGCAUCCACAUUUAUAGCAGCACAAUUUGUAACAGUCAAAUCUUGGAAACAACCCAAAUGCCCCUCAAGUGAGGGCUGGAUAAAAAAGGUGUGGUAUUUCUAUGCAAUAGAGCUAUAAAGAUGGAUAUAAAGCUAUAAAGAUGGAUAAACUCGAUGCUUUUAUAGGGAAAUGGAUGCAACUUGAGUCCAUACUCGUAAGUGAAAUAAAGCACACUUGCGUGUGUAAACAUUAUAUUGUCUCUUUAGUGUAAAAAACUGAAAGAGAAAUAGGAUCCAAAAUGUACAAUAGAUAUUGUGAAAGUAAAAGGGGCAGAAACUGCUUAAAAGGAAAGAAAACUUAGGAUGGGGGAAAUGAGAAAAAAAAGAAAGGAAAAGAUUAUAUAUGUCUCUGUGUGUGUAUAUAUAUAUACACACAUAUACAUAUAUUUAUAUAUACACAUACAUAUGCAAGACAGGUAAUUAUACUACUAAUCUCUGUUAGUUCAUCAAAAAGUUUUGCGCUCUCUUUUGAUCAUUUUUCAUGGCUAUAUCUUGUAAUCUGAGUAACUAAAGAUAAUUCACAAUAUAUUAAUCAUUGUUAAUCUAUUAUGUUGUUUUGAAAUUCUGUAUUCAUUUUAAAGUAAAAAAUGAAAAGAAAAUACAUGUGCUUCUUUAGUAAUAAAAUAGAUGACAAGAUUUAGCAGCACAGCUAAUGUCAUAAUUCCACAAAUCCUGAUGCUAUAAUUCCAAGUAGGGAUGAGCAUAAAUGGUGUUCAAGAUAUUUGCUACAACCAAAAUGUGAUCCGCAAACAAUCUGUAAUUUCUGUUAGCAGAAAGCUCACAGACACCAUAGCACUGUUGUGCCGUGUUGUCUAAAUUCAUGACUGAAGAAUGUGCUAAAUUUCAAUUAAAGGUUAAAGAAAAUAAAGAUAUGAUAUUUUUCUCAUCUUGCUUGGAGACACCCUCUAAAUCCUAUGUGUGGAUCCCAGAUCCAGAACUUAAACGUGUUGGAAACUGAUUCGAGGAAAUGACGCUUUUCUUGCUGAACUUCAGGAUCACCUAACUAUUGACCUUCCGGGUUAUGUGAAGAUGACCAAGUGACGUCCAGCCCCGUUGCUGUGUGAUGCAGGCUUGGCUAUGACCUUCAAAGUUUGUUACCUCACAGGCAUUGGAGAGGCCAGCAGGCACAGCCCGGGGGCCAGGCACAAACUGCCAUUUUUGCGUGGACAAGGAAAGUUCUCCUAGCUGCGGGAAAUGAAGCAAUACCACAAACUGCUCAGCUGGAUAAGGAUGGGCUCCAGGAUAAUCUCUAAAAGGAACAGGGCAAGAACAGAAGGCAGGAACCAAUCUGAGGACACAGGGGAAAGCCAGGAAGUAGGAUUGGGAUCCGAAUUUGAGUCUGAGUUUUACCCUUGGCCUCUGGGUGACUUGGGAAAAGUAAAAAUUCAUUUCUUAAUCUGUUCUGUCCUGUGGCGAAAUGAGGCGUGGCUCACAGAGUUUUUGCGAUGGGCGCAUGCGCGUAUAGGCCAGUUCUGUGCGACCUGCAAAGCCCUGCACAGGCUUCAUUGUUACGGUCCUUUGCCAACGGCCGGGCAUUUAACUUUACUCCGGAUGGGUCUCUGCUUAGCAUCUGGACACUGUACUCUCGCUGCAGUUUGCAAGUCCAGGCGACUCACUCAAGGUUUCUGUUCCUUUUCCUCUAUGGAGACACUGCAGAGACUGGCUGCGCGUCCAAAAGGACUGACUGGAACGUCCAAAGAUGGAAAAAACCGUUGAGUGGCUGGAGUUGGUGGUGGCUGAAUGGAAGUGUAAACGAGCGCCUGGAGAGAAGUGACAAGCAGGAGAGGCAUCGGCAGGACGUUUGAAAGUGACGGAAUCUCGUACUCUGCUUCCCUUCCAUCAGCAUGAACACACCUGAUAUUUUAAAAAGCAGAGAGAAAUCAGGAUGGAUUGAAGAUUUCUGGACUACUUGAAAAGGGUGACCUACAAUUUAUUCAGAAAUAAGGAGUGAUCUUCAUUGAAAUUACAUUGAGCUCUAAGGGGCCAGUGAUGAAAGUUCAGAGGCCUGGACUGUCAUAAAAUUGCUGGCAAAUGUCAAGCAAUACCAACAUAAUUGAGAAGUGUAUAAUUAUCUAUGUCACUACUCAACAAUGGUGUGGAGAUAAUGAUGUAAUUACUUUUUACCACAUUCUAGGACCAGGAAUUAGUGAUUAUUUUGUGUCAUCAAAGAUAUCAUUUAGAAUCUCUUCAUGUACUUUUCAAAUUACAUAUAUAUUAAAGAAUGAAAAUGACUGUGUAUGUUGAAAAACAUAGAUGGGAACUUUUAUAAUAAAUAUUGGGACCAGGUGUGGUGGUCCACAUCUGUAAUCCCAGAACUCAGGAGGCCAAGACAGGAGUGCAGUAGCCUGGGCUACAUAAUAAAACACUAGGCUACAUUUAUUAUGUAGCCUGGGCUACAUAAUAAAACACUAUCUCAGAGAACUAAAAUAAAUACAAAUAAAUAAAUGUUGGGACCAAAAUUUCUUUUUUAUUUUGUAAGCAGUAGUUUUUAUUUUAAAAAGAAUAAAACCUAGCAAAAUAAAUCCAAUCAAAACAAAACAAA